UUUUUUCGUUUUCGUUAGCAUGAAAGUAUCAUGAUGUCGUUGUUGAGUUAGUUCGAGAAAUCCUACUAUCGCGUGCUCACUUCUCGUAAUCUGUCAAAAUUACCAUGGCGCCCCUCUACCCCUUGAUCGAAACGAAGAAGCUUCCUCCGUUUCUGAAUAUUGGUGAUGAAGAAAGUGUUCAAAGCUUUUGGUGGGGAUGAAGUGUACAGAAUCAAAUUUCAUUUGAUUUGUUUUUAUUUAAUAGAAUCAAUUAUUAAUAGCUUCUGUUUGGAAUUUGGAUUGAUCACCUUGUUUAAUAAUCAAUAUAUCAAAUACUCAAUCCCUCCCGUUUUAUUCGUCUUAUUCGUCGUAUUCGUAUACGGUUUCUACACGCAUAUUAACAAAAUUACUAAAUUGCCCCCCCAAAGAAAGACGGUUGUAACAGCAAGAAGAGAAAGUGAUUGUACCGUCCCGUUUUCUUCGUCGUAUUCGUAUACGGUUUCUACAGGCAUAUUAACAAAAUUACUAAAUUGCCCCCCAGAAAAAGACGGUUGUAACAGCAAGAAGAGAAGUGAUUGUAUUACAGACAAAAUUAAAAACAGAUUCAUCUAAUUUACUUGAGGCAGAUCAACUGUAACUAACAACAGAAAACGAA
Erythranthe guttata (spotted monkey flower) is the source of this 634-nucleotide long non-coding RNA. RefSeq lists it as uncharacterized. NCBI's taxonomy places the organism in Eukaryota, Viridiplantae, Streptophyta, Magnoliopsida, Lamiales, Phrymaceae. The record is from RefSeq and is a predicted model, not a curated record.